RNAcentral lists this ribosomal RNA (505 nucleotides) under uncultured bacterium. RNAcentral describes it as "partial 16S ribosomal RNA". It matches the Rfam family "Bacterial small subunit ribosomal RNA", at positions 28 to 507 of the family's 1533-position model. The record is from RNAcentral.
GACGAACGCUGGCGGCGUGCCUAAUACAUGCAAGUAGAACGCACAGUUUAUACCGUAGCUUGCUCCACCAUAGACUGUGAGUUGCGAACGGGUGAGUAACGCGUAGGUAACCUGCCUGGUAGCGGGGGAUAACUAUUGGAAACGAUAGCUAAUACCGCAUAAUAUUAAUUAUUGCAUGAUAAUUAAUUGAAAGGUGCAAUUGCACCACUACCAGAUGGACCUGCGUUGUAUUAGCUAGUAGGUGAGGUAGCGGCUCACCUAGGCGACGAUACAUAGCCGACCUGAGAGGGUGAUCGGCCACACUGGGACUGAGACACGGCCCAGACUCCUACGGGAGGCAGCAGUAGGGAAUCUUCGGCAAUAGACGAAAGUCUGACCGAGCAACGCCGCGUGAGUGAAGAAGGUUUUCGGAUCGUAAAGCUCUGUUGUAAGAGAAGAACGGGUGUGAGAGUGGAAAGUUCACACUGUGACGGUAUCUUACCAGAAAGGGACGGCUAACUACGUG